UGAUCUGUGUUGGGAGGAAGAAUUCUUUUGAGUACCAAUUCACCAACUUGAUACUCCCGAGGGCGCACUUUCUGAUCAAACGCUCUCUUCAUUCGUCUCUGAUAUAGUUGGCCAUGGCAUAUAGCUGUCAGUCUCUUUUCCUCGACUAGGCUCAGCUGAUUGUAUCGAGAACGGAUCCAUUCUGCUUCGUCAAGCUUAACAUCCAUCAGGACUGUCGCAACCUGAAAAAUACAGUGCGAAAAAAAAC
RNAcentral lists this long non-coding RNA (247 nucleotides) under Lathyrus oleraceus (garden pea). RNAcentral's name for it is "Pisum sativum (pea) long non-coding RNA (PSAT_LNC000668)". Lineage: Eukaryota; Viridiplantae; Streptophyta; Magnoliopsida; Fabales; Fabaceae. The record is from RNAcentral.